RNAcentral lists this ribosomal RNA (250 nucleotides) under uncultured prokaryote. Its description in RNAcentral is "partial 16S ribosomal RNA". It matches the Rfam family "Bacterial small subunit ribosomal RNA", at positions 524 to 773 of the family's 1533-position model. The record is from RNAcentral.
UACGUAGGGAGCGAGCGUUGUCCGGAAUUACUGGGCGUAAAGGGUGCGUAGGCGGUUUACUAAGUCAGAUGUGAAAUACCCGUGCUUAACAUGGGGGGUGCAUCUGAUACUGGUAGACUUGAGUAUAGGAGAGGAAAGUGGAAUUCCUAGUGUAGCGGUGGAAUGCGUAGAUAUUAGGAGGAACACCAGUGGCGAAGGCGGCUUUCUGGACUAUAACUGACGCUGAGGCACGAAAGCGUGGGGAGCAAAC